CCUACGGGGGGCAGCAGUGGGGAAUAUUGGGCAAUGGGCGCAAGCCUGACCCAGCAACGCCGCGUGAAGGAAGAAGGCUUUCGGGUUGUAAACUUCUUUUGUCAGGGACGAAGCAAGUGACGGUACCUGACGAAUAAGCCACGGCGAACUACGUGCCAGCAGCCGCGGUAAUACGUAGGUGGCAAGCUUUAUCCGGAUUUAUUGGGUGUAAAGGGCGUGUAGGCGGGAAUGGAAGUCAGAUGUGAAAACUAUGGGCUCAACCCAUAGCCUGCAUUUGAAACUGUAUGUCGUGAGUGCUGGAGAGGCAAUCGGAAUUCCGUGUGUAGCGGUGAAAUGCGUAGAUAUACGGAGGAACACCAGUGGCGAAGGCGGAUUGCUGGACAGUAACUGACGCUGAGGCGCGAAAGCGUGGGGAGCAAACAGGAUUAGAUACCCUUGUAGUC
This 443-nucleotide ribosomal RNA is filed under the name uncultured bacterium. Its description in RNAcentral is "partial 16S ribosomal RNA". It matches the Rfam family "Bacterial small subunit ribosomal RNA", at positions 338 to 795 of the family's 1533-position model. The record is from RNAcentral.